ACAUGAGUCCUAGAAAGCUAGUAGGACCAGGGUUACCCAGCUGCAGGUGGCUGACUCAGUGGACUAAUAAGCACUUGUGACCCAGGACUUGCCUUAAGUGCUGGAAAUUCUGCUCAUCUCAGUCUGGAUCCUCCCAUUUUCUAUCCCUGACCUAUCAGAGAGGAAGAUUCUGGAACCCAGGGGAUGGCUAGGGCUAUAGAAGAGCGGCUCACCAGGCAAGAAUGUCCUCCACUCCACCAGAUCCUCUGGUCCAGCAAGAGCAGCAGGAGUCAGGAAUCCUCUUCACAGGAAUUCUCUUCAUACAAGGCCAAGGAGGCAGGUCUGGUUGUCCCUCUUGCUAAUGGGCUGCAUUUUGGGACCAUUACUCAGAGACUCACAGAGGACCAAGGUCCCACUCCCCAGGGUUUAAAAUGUAAUGCAGACAGUGACGUGGACCACUAUCAUCAGGAGCCAGGGUGAGCAGGAGGCCCAGCAGGGGAGCAGUGUCUGUCAUCAGAAGGAGG
This is a non-coding RNA of Heterocephalus glaber (naked mole-rat), 503 nucleotides long. The record is from RefSeq and is a predicted model, not a curated record. NCBI's taxonomy places the organism in Eukaryota, Metazoa, Chordata, Mammalia, Rodentia, Bathyergidae.